This 334-nucleotide unclassified non-coding RNA is filed under the name soil metagenome. RNAcentral's name for it is "partial contains 5.8S ribosomal RNA, internal transcribed spacer 2, and large subunit ribosomal RNA". The stretch from base 1 to 120 matches the Rfam family "5.8S ribosomal RNA", at positions 35 to 154 of the family's 154-position model. The record is from RNAcentral.
GAUGAAGAACGUAGCGAAAUGCGAUAAGUAAUGUGAAUUGCAGAAUUCAGUGAAUCAUCGAAUCUUUGAACGCACAUUGCGCCCGCCAGUAUUCUGGCGGGCAUGCCUGUUCGAGCGUCAUUUCAACCAUCAAGCCCUGCUUGCGUUGGGGUCCUGCGGCCGCCCGCAGGCCCUGAAAACCAGUGGCGGGCUCGCUAGUCACACCGAGCGCAGUAAUACAUCUCGCUUUGGGCGUGCGGCGGGUUCUUGCCGUUAAACACCCCCUUUUUACCAAGGUUGACCUCGGAUCAGGUAGGAAUACCCGCUGAACUUAAGCAUAUCAAUAAGCGGAGGA